This 418-nucleotide ribosomal RNA is filed under the name uncultured bacterium. Its description in RNAcentral is "bacterial SSU rRNA". It matches the Rfam family "Bacterial small subunit ribosomal RNA", at positions 8 to 422 of the family's 1533-position model. The record is from RNAcentral.
AGAGUUUGAUCCUGGCUCAGAUUGAACGCUGGCGGCAGGCCUAACACAUGCAAGUCGAAUGGUAACAGGAAACAGCUUGCUGUUUCGCUGACGAGUGGCGGACGGGUGAGUAAUGUCUGGGAAACUGCCUGAUGGAGGGGGAUAACUACUGGAAACGGUAGCUAAUACCGCAUAACGUCGCAAGACCAAAGAGGGGGACCUUCGGGCCUCUUGCCAUCAGAUGUGCCCAGAUGGGAUUAGCUAGUAGGUGGGGUAACGGCUCACCUAGGCGACGAUCCCUAGCUGGUCUGAGAGGAUGACCAGCCACACUGGAACUGAGACACGGUCCAGACUCCUACGGGAGGCAGCAGUGGGGAAUAUUGCACAAUGGGCGCAAGCCUGAUGCAGCCAUGCCGCGUGUAUGAAGAAGGCCUUCGGG